Molecule: ribosomal RNA, 238 nt
Filed under: uncultured bacterium
Lineage: Bacteria
Description: partial 16S ribosomal RNA
Rfam family: Bacterial small subunit ribosomal RNA
Source: RNAcentral
AGCGAACGCUGGCGGCGUGCCUAACACAUGCAAGUCGAGCGAGAAAGGGGUGGCAACACCCUGAGUAAAGCGGCGAACGGGUGAGUAACGCGUGGGCAAUCUACCUUCCAGUCUGGGAUAACCUUCCGAAAGGAGGGCUAAUACCGGAUGAUGUCCUGUUGGGGCAUCCUGAGGGGAGCAAAGGGGCGGACCCGCCAAGGGCGUCUCGCUGGAGGAGGAGCCUCGCGUCCGUAUUAGC